AAUCAACGCUGGCGGCGUGCCUCAGACAUGCAAGUCGAACGAUUAAAGCUCUCUUCGGAGAGUGUAUAGAGUGGCGCACGGGUGAGUAACACGUAAGUAAUCUACCCUCGAGUGGGGAAUAACGUCCGGAAACGGACGCUAAUACCGCAUAAUGCAGCGGCACCGCAAGGUGACAGUUGUUAAAGGAGAAAUUCGCUUGAGGAGGAGCUUGCGGCAGAUUAGCUUGUUGGUAAGGUAACGGCUUACCAAGGCUACGAUCUGUAACCGGUCUUAGAGGACGGUCGGUCACACUGACACUGAAUAACGGGUCAGACUCCUACGGGAGGCAGCAGUCGGGAAUUUUGGGCAAUGGGCGAAAGCCUGACCCAGCAACGCCGCGUGAAGGAUGAAGUAUUUCAGUAUGUAAACUUCGAAAGAAUAGGAAGAAUAAAUGACGGUACUAUUUAUAGGUCCGGCUAACUACGUGCCAGCAGCCGCGGUAA
Molecule: ribosomal RNA, 482 nt
Filed under: uncultured bacterium
Lineage: Bacteria
Description: bacterial SSU rRNA
Rfam family: Bacterial small subunit ribosomal RNA
Source: RNAcentral